RNAcentral lists this unclassified non-coding RNA (210 nucleotides) under Hevea brasiliensis (rubber tree). The record is from RNAcentral. Lineage: Eukaryota; Viridiplantae; Streptophyta; Magnoliopsida; Malpighiales; Euphorbiaceae.
UGACAACAUCUCCCUUCUCUCCUUCGGACAGAUCUUCUGACAUAUCAGCAGUUGCAUCUCGACGCCCUCUUUCACGUUCAAGGCGGCGUUUAGAUUGGCGAAGAGCUUCCUCACCCUCAAUCUGCUUCUUCUUCCUCGCAAGGUUCCAGAUCCUCCAGCACAUGUUCUCCAGCCGCGUGUUCCGCUCCUGCGGACUCCGCGUCGCCGCCG